GUAUUGGAAGGGCUCGUCGCCAGU
Molecule: non-coding RNA, 24 nt
Filed under: Cricetulus griseus (Chinese hamster)
Lineage: Eukaryota; Metazoa; Chordata; Mammalia; Rodentia; Cricetidae
Source: RNAcentral